GGGACGGGUGAGUAACACGUGGAUAACCUACCUAUAAGACUGGGAUAACUUCGGGAAACCGGAGCUAAUACCGGAUAAUAUUUUGAACCGCAUGAUUCAACAGUGAAAGACGGUCUUGCUGUCACUUAUAGAUGGAUCCGCGCCGCAUUAGCUAGUUGGUAAGGUAACGGCUUACCAAGGCAACGAUGCGUAGCCGACCUGAGAGGGUGAUCGGCCACACUGGAACUGAGACACGGUCCAG
This 241-nucleotide ribosomal RNA is filed under the name uncultured Staphylococcus sp. Its description in RNAcentral is "partial 16S ribosomal RNA". It matches the Rfam family "Bacterial small subunit ribosomal RNA", at positions 100 to 334 of the family's 1533-position model. Lineage: Bacteria; Bacillati; Bacillota; Bacilli; Caryophanales; Staphylococcaceae. The record is from RNAcentral.